GUGAAUCAUCAAAUCUUUGAACGCAAAUUGCGCUUCCUGGUAUCCCGUGAAGUAUGCCUGUUUGAGGGUCAGUAUUAACAUAAAAUCUUUUUGGUUGCUAAUUGUGACGUUUCCGGAUUUUGGACUUAUCUUAACUUUUUUGAUUAAGGGGCUUAAAAUUUACCUUUUUUGCGCAUUUUUAUUCGUUCAUAAAUUUUUUUUUAUUCGUCUAUCCUUAAUGCUAAAAUCUUAUUAUAUGCUAUCACAU
This 247-nucleotide unclassified non-coding RNA is filed under the name Glomeromycetes sp. Its description in RNAcentral is "partial contains 5.8S ribosomal RNA and internal transcribed spacer 2". The stretch from base 1 to 71 matches the Rfam family "5.8S ribosomal RNA", at positions 84 to 154 of the family's 154-position model. Lineage: Eukaryota; Fungi; Glomeromycota; Glomeromycetes. The record is from RNAcentral.